ACGAGUUAGGGUCUUCCAAGGCCCGACCUCCCAACCCUAUGUUUAUUGUACCAUGUGUUGCUUCGGCGGGACCGUCUUCACGACCGCCGGAGGACCGUAAAACGUCCUCUGGCCCGCGCCCGCCGACGGCCCCCCAUUGAAAACUCUUUGAAUAAUCAUGCCUAUAUUGUCUGAGUAAUACACAAAAAUUAAAAGCA
Molecule: unclassified non-coding RNA, 197 nt
Filed under: uncultured Exophiala
Lineage: Eukaryota; Fungi; Ascomycota; Eurotiomycetes; Chaetothyriales; Herpotrichiellaceae
Description: sequence contains ITS1
Source: RNAcentral